ACCCUGGGUUAAACGGCCGCGGUAUUUUAACCGUGCGAAGGUAGCGCAAUCACUUGUCCUUUAAAUGAAGACCUGUAUGAAUGGCUAGACGAGGGCUUAGCUGUCUCCUCCCCCCGGUCAAUGAAAUUGAUCUCCCCGUGCAGAAGCGGGGAUGCUAACAUAAGACGAGAAGACCCUAUGGAGCUUUAGACACUAGACAGCCUACGUUAAACUUCCCCUCUAAUAGGGAAAAAACAUUGUGGCUCCUGUCUCUCCUGUCUUCGGUUGGGGCGACCGCGGAGGAUAAAAGAGCCUCCAUGUGGACCGAGGUUACUAAUCUCACAGCUAARAGCUGCAGCUCCAAGCACCAGAAAUUCUGACCAAAAUGAUCCGGCACACUGCCGAUUAACGGAACAAGUUACCCUAGGGAUAACAGCGCAAUCCUCUCCCAGAGUCCCUAUCGACGAGGGGGUUUACGACCUCGAUGUUGGAUCAGGACAUCCUAUUGGUGCAGCCGCUAAUAAGGGUUCGUUUGUUCAACGAUUAAAGUCCU
Molecule: ribosomal RNA, 532 nt
Filed under: Hypomesus japonicus
Lineage: Eukaryota; Metazoa; Chordata; Actinopteri; Osmeriformes; Osmeridae
Description: partial 16S ribosomal RNA
Rfam family: Bacterial large subunit ribosomal RNA
Source: RNAcentral